UGUAACAGCAACUCCAUAUGGA
This 22-nucleotide microRNA is filed under the name Salmo salar (Atlantic salmon). RNAcentral's name for it is "ssa-miR-194c-5p". Its record names the gene ssa-miR-194c-5p. The record is from miRBase by way of RNAcentral. Lineage: Eukaryota; Metazoa; Chordata; Actinopteri; Salmoniformes; Salmonidae.